AGCAGCCGCGGUAAUUCCAGCUCCAAUAGCGUAUAUUAAAGUUGUUGCAGUUAAAAAGCUCGUAGUUGAAUUUCGGGGUUAGUAGGCUGGUCGUGCCACAGGUAUGUACUGGUCUUACUGACUUCUCCUUUCUGGAGAACUGUAAUGCCAUUAAUUUGGUGUUGCAGGGAAUCAGGACUGUUACUUUGAAAAAUUAGAGUGUUUAAAGCAGGCUAACGCUUGAAUACAUUAGCAUGGAAUAAUGAAAUAGGACGUUCGAUCCUAUUUUGUUGGUUUCUAGGAUUGACGUAAUGAUUAAUAGGGAUAGUUGGGGGCAUUAGUAUUCAAUUGUCAGAGGUGAAAUUCUUGGAUUUAUUGAAGACUAACUACUGCGAAAGCAUUUGCCAAGGAUGUUUUCAUUAAUCAAGAACGAAAGUUAGGGGAUCGAAGACGAUCAGAUACCGUCGUAGUCUUAACCAUAAACUAUGCCGACUAGGGAUCGGAUGAUGUUAAUUUUUAAUGACUCAUUCGGCGCCUUAC
This 519-nucleotide small RNA is filed under the name uncultured Glomus. RNAcentral describes it as "SSU rRNA". It matches the Rfam family "Eukaryotic small subunit ribosomal RNA", at positions 569 to 1091 of the family's 1831-position model. The record is from RNAcentral. Lineage: Eukaryota; Fungi; Glomeromycota; Glomeromycetes; Glomerales; Glomeraceae.